CGGGCGGCCGUGACCCUGCUGGAGUGCGGGGGGGACCUCCAGCCCCCCGGGGGUUCCCUGCGCCUCCUCUGCCGAGGGUCCGGGUUCAGUUUUGGCAGUUUUGGGAUGGGCUGGGUGCGCCAGAGACCCGGGCAGGGGCUGGAAUACGUCGCUGGGAUCACCAACACUGGUGGUUGGACCGAGUACACGAAUUCGUUCAAGGGCCGGUUCAGGAUCUCCAGGGACAACGGGCGGAGCUCGGUGAUGCUGACCGUGAACAACCUCAAGGACGAGGAUUCCGCCACCUAUUUCUGUGCCAAAUCUGGUCGUACUAAUGGUGGUUGGGCUGUUGCUGCUGAUCCUUCUGACGCGUCCUCAUCCCUGUCACGGUCACAGCCGCCUGCAGCCCUGUGGGACAAAGGGGAGAUGGGGAUGAUGAGACCCAUUGGUUGUGCAGUCAAAGUGGGCGCUGCCAUUCCAGAAGAAGGGUGUGGGAUCCACCUGGGAUGA
Molecule: non-coding RNA, 489 nt
Organism: Melozone crissalis (California towhee)
Lineage: Eukaryota; Metazoa; Chordata; Aves; Passeriformes; Passerellidae
Source: the annotation of a RefSeq genome assembly